UUUUAGUAGUGAAAGCGGUUAGAAGGGAGGAAAAGGAUUAGAAAGAAAAAGUAGAAAGCGUAUUAUGAAGUAUUAUUUUGAAGAUUGAAGAAUGCAUUUUCUAAGUUGCUUGAGUUUACUUUAUUAGGGAUUGUAUUGCACUUGCACUUGGGAUCAGGAGUAGGAUUGGCAUUAGGAUUAGAAUAGGAUUUGGGAUUCCUCUUUGAUCAAAAAUAAAUAAAAAAUAAAAAAUUAGAAAACUUCUAGUGCUCUCGCCAGAACUAGAACUUUUUCAUGCAACGGAACGAGAUGAACGGAGAAAUGCGGAACCAAGAUGAAGCAAGACAACAAGUCGAUUAACAAUGAAAGAAAAAAAUAUCAAUAUAGUCGGAAAACAAAAAGAUGAUUGAUUAAUAAGGAAAGUAUGAGAAGGAGGCGGU
This is a non-coding RNA of Schizosaccharomyces pombe (fission yeast), 419 nucleotides long. Lineage: Eukaryota; Fungi; Ascomycota; Schizosaccharomycetes; Schizosaccharomycetales; Schizosaccharomycetaceae. The record is from the annotation of a GenBank genome assembly.